GGGGGAGUAUGGUCGCAAGGCCGAAACUUAAAGGAAUUGACGGAAGGGCACCACCAGGAGUGGAAUCUGCGGCUUAAUUUGACCCAACGCGGGAAAACUCACCAGGUCAGGACACGGUAAGGAUUGACGGACUGAAGGCUCUUUCUCGAUUCCGUGGAAAGUGGUGCAUGGCCGUUUUUGGUUGGUGGAUCGAUCCGUCUGGUUAAUUCCGUUAACGAACGAGACCUCGGCACUCCGAAUAGCGCGGCGGACGUCGCGGCCUCCGGGCCGUCUUCCGCACGAGCUUCUUAGAGGGACCGUCCCCCGCCGGGGAAGGAGGUGCGAGGCAACGACAGGUCUGUGAUGCCCUUAGAUGUUCUGGGCCGCACGCGCAUUACACUGACGCGUCCAACGGGUGACUCCCGACCCGAAGGGGCCGGGGAAUCCGCAAGGCGCGUCGUGAUGGGGAUUGAACGUUGCAAUUGUUGUUCACGAACGAGG
This 480-nucleotide ribosomal RNA is filed under the name uncultured eukaryote. RNAcentral describes it as "bacterial SSU rRNA". It matches the Rfam family "Eukaryotic small subunit ribosomal RNA", at positions 1117 to 1608 of the family's 1831-position model. The record is from RNAcentral.